RNAcentral lists this long non-coding RNA (202 nucleotides) under Elaeis guineensis (African oil palm). Its description in RNAcentral is "long non-coding RNA (EGUI_LNC075826)". The record is from RNAcentral. Lineage: Eukaryota; Viridiplantae; Streptophyta; Magnoliopsida; Arecales; Arecaceae.
GGAUCGGGAUCUAAUCUACUGUACGAAUUUUGGAGCAGUCUCAGAUCAUCAUAUUUUCAUCUCAAAUUUAUUUUAGGGUCUGUGAUGCAAUCAGAGAGAGAGAAUGACCCUAGAGAGACAAAAUUCAUAAUGAGAGAGAAAGGUCUAGAGAGAGAAAAUAGAGAGAGAAUCUAGAGAGAGAAAAUAUAGAGAGAAGGUAGAG